This is a small nucleolar RNA of Trichechus manatus latirostris (Florida manatee), 142 nucleotides long. RefSeq annotates it as small nucleolar RNA SNORA5. Lineage: Eukaryota; Metazoa; Chordata; Mammalia; Sirenia; Trichechidae. The transcript has a single exon. The record is from RefSeq and is a predicted model, not a curated record.
UGCAGUCAAGUCAAAUUCAGCACCUACUCCUGUCGUAGCAGGGGCUGGCUCAGAUGGCUGCAACAGCAAGCUUUGCCAUAGUAGCUCAUAGGCCCCCGAUCCCCUGUCCUGGGGCCUGGGGAUCAGUUGGCUACAGACACUG